CGCGGGAGGAGAUGAGUCGUUCCUUCUUAUUUCUCCGCACUACAAUUCAAGGGUUUUCGAAGAGUCGAAAUUCAAGAAGCGUGGACUGGAGUGGACACGACACGACUGUGGCUGUUGUGCUUUGGGUAAGCGAAGAGUGGGGAUGACGCGAAAGAAGAGGAGGGGAGAGCUGUCAUAAUUUAGUGCUACCACGAUAUGCGGCGAGUAUGAAAAAAAAGAUUCUCUCAUUUUCCUUGGGAGUGCAAAGCUCAAGGGCCAAGAAAGAGAAAAAAGUGCCGAUGAGGCUCGCUAAACGAUCCGUGGAUGUAUCAAACAAACGAGAAAAAAGUUUGUUGUCGUGUUUUAAUGUGUACCUAAACGGAGGCCAGCGCCAUAGUGACGUGCGGUGGGAAACCGAAGGAAUCAUUGUGAAUAUAGGUUGGUGAGUGAGUGAGAGAGAGAGAGAGAGAGAGAGAGAGAGAAAGAGAAAAGAGGAGGAAACUUCUCUUCGUGCAGUGCAAAAGCGAGUCGAUAGAUUGCGGAACGAGCGAACUCGAAUUUUUCGCUCGUAAACCAACACAAGAUAUAGUGCGUGUGUGCGUAUUUUUUUCUUAUUCUAACCUCCUAUAGCCCUCUUGUCCCCUUCCCGCACGCCGCUCUCCUCGUGACUUUUCAUGCUGAAAGUUGAAAAUCAGUGUUUCGCGUGCGUCCGCCGAUGGGCGAACGAUGGAUUUUAAAUGAUAAAUAAACGUUCGCGUAGUUGGUCGCUCUUGCGCGCCUCUCGAGUGUUCCGUGAACAGGAUUUGUUUUUUUUUAACGCCUGAAUCCUUGCGUCGUAACGAAUCUUAACGUACGCGUAAAAAAAUCGUUAUAAAAGUGCGGUGGACCGAUGUUGUAACUACGAUAGGGGCCAAAAUGGAAGAGCAAAGCGUUCACAGCAGUAUCAGCGAUAUAAAUAGUGAGGAGACGGUCAAGACAGAGCCAGCCAGGAUACCUCGGAAAAAACGGAUAUGCUUGGUCGGUCCAACCUGUGAUGAUGCAGCCCUCGGUGCCGCUGCUCAACAGUUCAGCGUUCCCGUUCUCAAGUCCAAUUGCGGCUCCGAAUACAUCGAGGACACCACGUACUGCACAUAUUUUAUACUUAAUCAGUUCGAGGGACCGGAGUACGAUGCGCUUCACAAAAGUGCCCACAGAAUAUUGGGACCAACGGCGUUGCUGCAGUUGGCGGAGAAAAAAGAGUCCUUGCCGAGUAUUUCACGUCCGCUGUACACUCAAGCCAUGCUCGGAACAGUGGUCGUGUUUACCGGCUUUAGGAAAAAGGAUGAAUUGACGAAACUCAUCAAUAUGAUCCACAGUAUGGGCGGUAGCAUUAGGAAGGAAAUGGGCGUGAAAGUUACACAUCUAAUUGCGAAUUGUUGCGGCGGGGAAAAGUACAAGUACGCCGUCACAUUUCGGGUUCCUAUUAUGUCCAUGAAUUGGGUCACUGCCUUGUGGGACAGAAAAUACGACACAAAGAGUUUUGGGAACAAUGAGGAACUGGUCGCAAAUUUUAAGCUCAAGCCUUUCGUCGGUGCCAAAGUCUGCUUCUUCGGUUUUCCUGAGGAUGAGAAGAAACACAUGUGCGAAGUUUUGCAGCAACAGGGCGGUGAACCUACUGAAAUUGACGACCCGAAUUGCACGCACGUGGUUACGGAUAUGGGAAAUCGACGAUGCAGGAUUGCCGACACGCAAACAAACAAAUUUUCAUAUUUCAAGCGCACAUCGGGCGAAUCAAGACUGGCUACUUUUAAUUUUCUUCGUAAGGAGCCAUUUUCCUUUACUUUUUACAAUCCAUACACAAACACAAUACCACGUUCGUUAAACACGUGGGAUUCUUUGAGUGGCUUGAGCAAUACAAUGAUUCGUCGAAAACGUGGUGAGAGAUCGAUCUCCAUGUAUGAAAUGCCGUCUUGGUCGGGUGGUUGCAUCAUGAACAAGGAUAAUUCAAGAGGGAAUUUGAUGGCAAAUAAUUUGAGCGAGGAUUCAGCAAUAAUGAUAGAUUGGAAUAGUUCCGGAGGUGGAACAUUGCCGGAAAAUUUGGAAACUAUGUCGGGAAAUUCGACGAGAAACGAGAGCGAAAUGGAUUCAGGAAUUGACAGUUCCAUGUCGACGGCUAUGUCUUGCGAGAUGUUCAACAGCAGCGAAAAAAUUUUAGCACGAUCGGGAACGAUUGCAAGAAAGCAAAACAACAGUGAAUUCAUUCAGGACGAGGAGAGUCGAGAAAUGGAAAUGGACAUUGACGCAUUUGUGCCGCAAGCGACGAGCGCUGAUGCGUAUAAAACUUCGGAAACAAUCGCACUGUCCAAUAAUUGGGGAAACGAGUUUAGCACCAUUUUACCACAUUGGCAGCCUCUCAAAUGUUCCAGUGCUCCGGCAGAACUGGGAUCAAAAUGUUUCAAAUUUCAAUCUGACACUCACAAUCGCAGCGUGAUCUCGUCGUCAUCUCAUAAGAAAAUAAUAAUACCGCGUCGUUACGUACGCUGGAGGAAGUCGAAAUCAUGCUUCGCCAUCCCUAAAAUCACAACACCUGAUCACUCCAAAUUUGUAAAAACUCAUUCCCAUCCAAAUUUGGAGAAAAAACAUGAUUCCUUCGUCUCCGAUCAAUUCAUCAAUGACUCGCCUCCCUUGUGCCGAAAAAGUAAUUAUUCUUCGAGCACACUCAAACUCGCAACCAACUUGUUGGCUAAAAUGAGCGAAAUCAAUUUCCCACAUACUUUCAAACAGAGCAUGCAAGUCAGUCCCGCUCGUAAGGGCCUCGAGAAAAUACCACCGAGGCAAAAAUACACACCGUUGCCCAGUCCCUUACCUGCUCGUGCAAAAAUCCCUCGAAUAGCAAAUCGCGAUGUUUCAAAAAUUAGCUCAAAUAGCAGUCUCGUCGAGGGAAGUUUCGAGGAUUUUUCUCAGUCCUGCGUCAAGCUGAGAACUCUCAACAGAGGCGAAAAUGUGAGACCGAAGCGGUUCGAGGACAAACCUCGUCUUGCGGUAGUAGACGAGUCCAACGUAAAUGCGUUACCUGACUUGGCCUCGGUUCGGGCCCACAUUGUCAAAGCCGAAUGGUUCUGGACCUCUGUACAAAAUGAAGGGGCAGCGGAUGAGAAGGAAUAUCUUUUCGAAGAUUAUCUCGAAUCCGUUUUAUCGCCGACUGCAUCAGCCAGAAGAGAUAGUCAACAGGCAGCUACGCCAACCACAGCCUCGACGAGAAGAAAACGGAAGCGGCUCGCCGAAACAUUAUCUAGUCUCGUGCAGAACGGUGCUGAUUCGCCGGCCGUGCACAAGAGACGGUCGAGCAUCAGCGACGCCGGUCACCUCAGCGUCAGCGGUAGUUUUUUGGAUUGUACAACCAGUCCGGACAAAUUAUUAGACGAUAUUCCAGAGGUUGAAGCCGUAACGACAGAAACAUCGAGAAAAAAUUUAUCACCACGACAUCAAGUAUUCCUCGAAUUGGUCCAAACUGAGUCGAAUUACGUUGGUAUACUCAGUACAAUAAUGACGCUGUUCAAAUCACCAUUGGAGGAUCUCAUAGAGACGAGUGGCGAGUUACUGAACACUACUGAAGUGAAAAAAAUUUUUGGGGAUUUUCCCCCGAUAUACGAAGUUCACAAAAAAAUGUUGGAAGAAUUGCGCUACAGCGCGGCACACUGGGCCGAGGAUGUUAGCAUAGGAAAUAUAUUUCUCAAAUAUGCGCCGGAUCUUGUCAAAGCGUAUCCACCAUACGUUAAUUUUUUCGAAAAUAUAAAAGAAAUGUUGGAUCAGUGCGAUCAGAAUAAGCCGAGGUUUCACGCUUUUCUCAAAAUCUGCCAAACCAAACCCGAGUGCGGCAGACAAAGUCUGAAAGAGUUACUGAUCAAACCGGUGCAAAGGCUACCCAGUAUUAGUUUAUUAUUAAAUGAUAUUCUUAAGCAUACAAAUAAGAAUAAUCCAGACCAUAGCGCCUUGGAACUGUCGAUCAGCAGUAUUAAGGAAGUUAUGACAUACAUAAACGAGGAUAAAAGAAAAACGGAGGGUCAAGUUGUGAUAUUCGACAUAUUUAACGAGAUUGACAACUGUCCGCCUUACUUAGUAUCGUCGCAUCGUUCUUUCAUCGGCAAAUGCGAUGUUAUGGAACUUAGCGAGAGUUUGAGCGGCCGAGGCGAUCAUCUCGUUUUGUUCUUAUUUAACGACACCCUCGAAAUAUGCAAAAAACGAUCGAAAGCUUUUAACUCGUUAAAAAGUCCUAACACAGCGAAUGGUCUUCAUUCGGCGAAACUCAGUCAAGGCAAACCUUACAAACAUAUCGCGAUGCUUUCCCUGAGUACGAUUAAAAAAGUCGUCGACAUUCGAGAAACUGACGAAUGUCAAAAAGUAUUUGCCCUGAUGGUUCGAAGUAAUCAGGAAUUCAAAGAAAAACUCUUCUCAUUCACUAUCACUGACGAGGAAGUGAACAAGACGAAUUAUUUACGGACACUGUGCAGACAAAUGGCCAAUACCGUUUGUAAAACUGACGCAGACACAUUUUUAAUAAGUCUUGAUUCACAUCAACUUGAGAUUGAUACGAGUGACGUAGCGUUAGGUACAUUGAGUAAAGCAUUUAAGAGCCUAUUUCAUAAUUUUUACCUGGAGUAUAUGGACCCGUAUGUGUUCCUACUCAAUAGCAUGUGUGAAACCACGUUACAUGUCCCACUACCAUUUGCAUCACGAACGAGAAUGAAAGUCGGACGUGCGUUCAGUUUCAACAAAACGCCGAGUAAAUUGAAGAGAGCAAUGUCGACGAUGAUGUCACCGUUCGGCUCGACCAACAGUCUAACGCCAGCGAGUCAACAGUUAGCCCAGAUGCGAUUGGCCAGUUGCAACAAUAUUAACCUUGCGCAUCGUUAAGUAUGCAGAAAAGUUUGUUGCUUUCUCGAAGAAAAAACAAAACGCGAUCUAUUUGUUUCUUCCUACCCGUCUGGGGUACUCGUCAUCGAAACUUUUUGCAUGUAUUGAAUUAUUUGAAAUGAAUAAUGUUAAAAAAAAUACGAUAGACAAAACCGAGAAAAAACAAUCCAGAACGAAAAAAAACGUCGUGCGUAGUUCCACAACGAACGACUGCAAAAAAAUUGCAUUUAUUUUUCUUUUUUUUUGUCAUUUUUGACGGUGACGAUUGUUUGUGUGUUCAUGCCUAUCCGUUGAAACAAAACAAAAAAACAAAAACAUCACAGCAAAAGAAAGAACGAACGAAAAAAACGAAUGAAAAUGUGGAUCGAUAUUUCGCCACGUGUCACAUGAGCUGGGCAACGGUGGUUCAGGCUCGCCGUCACGUGACGAGGUUCUAGUAGCUCCGAUGUCGGUCCAACCGACGAGGAAGGCAAAGUGCAGUUCCCUCAGUAUGGCU
This 5368-nucleotide unclassified non-coding RNA is filed under the name Venturia canescens. RNAcentral's name for it is "protein ECT2, transcript variant X8". The record is from RNAcentral. Lineage: Eukaryota; Metazoa; Arthropoda; Insecta; Hymenoptera; Ichneumonidae.